This is a long non-coding RNA of Tympanuchus pallidicinctus (lesser prairie-chicken), 3844 nucleotides long. RefSeq lists it as uncharacterized. The record is from RefSeq and is a predicted model, not a curated record. Lineage: Eukaryota; Metazoa; Chordata; Aves; Galliformes; Phasianidae. The transcript is spliced from 7 exons.
CCAAAGUAAGCCUUUUUGGUUGUUCUAGAAGCUUGGAAGAGUUUAAUCUAAUUUAAUUUAUUUUGAUUGUGAACGCUUGGGAACUUCCUGGUUCUGACUGAGCUUAGCAAUGACUAAAUCCUCAGAGCAUCUCUUCUCAAGCAGUGCUGAUUUGGGGGGCAGUAAAUCAAUUACCCAGCCAAGGAUUUUACCUUCUUGUUUUUCCACAUUUCUAUAUUUUGUGUUCCUUCACUGUCAUUUCACUUCUAACUAACAAGAAUGCAGAAUUAAAGUUGGUUUUAUCAGCAACUGUGAAUGUCUCUGCUUAGAGUCAAUUUUCCUUUCCUUGCACGUGCCUGUCUCAGUUGCUCAAUUGUGUUGAUGAAAGUUUGAAACUUCCCCUUCACGAGAGGUCAGUGAAGCUUGUAAUUUGUCACUUCAAGACAUCAGUUCCUAUAGCAAAUCUCUCAUUAGAUUUUCCCUGUGCAUAUCAGAGGUUGAGGUCAUAUGGCCCCAGGUUGUCUUGUCUCUGAGGGGAGUGCUGGCAUUGGAGUAUUUGAUUGCUUCACCACAGCUGUGAAUUUGAAGAAGUCAAUCUCUUCUGGUCUGCACUCCCUCUAGAGCAUAUUGCCUCCUCUGCACAAUUUAACAGUGAUUGGCUGUUUAAAUAGCUUUUGAAUAAGUUUGUUCUUAAACAUGUUUCCCCUAGUUAUCCUCCAUGUAGUGUGGAGCUUCUGCUCUGAGUAGCUUACUAGUUUGCCCUGGUACUUCUCAUGUUCUCUGCUCCUUCUGAUCUUUUUCUAAAUGUAGCAGUGAAUAGCUAGGGAAAGUCAUGUACUCUUAUGCUUCUGCUGCUGUGAAAAGAAAUUGAUGCUUAUCAUUGUGCCUGGAAGUCCACUUGCAACUUUCCUGUUAAAACCAUUUUUCCAUCUGCCAAGACACGAAUCGCUCUGUAAUUACUUUCCCAAGGGUUUCUGGUAGGAAGGCUUCCUGCAGUCACUCCACGACACAUUUCCUCCUCAUCCUUCCAGUAGACUUCAGCUUGCUGAAGCCUCUCACUUCGGGUUCCUUUUCUCCACAGAAAUAGGUUGUGAAGAUGACUUUCCAUGCCCUUUUGAUUUUUCUGUUGGGCGGUGUAUGGGAACUGCUGAGUACCGGCCUGAACCACUGAUUGCACACCUGGGAAAGCACCAGUCAGCUGGGAGCACAGGUGAAGGCAAUUCUAUGUAACCAGAAGGGGUGGAGCCUGGCUGCACCUCUCUUAGACCUCAUUUAAGGAUUGACUGACCCUGGGGAGAGAUCUUUUGGGGGAGAUUCCUCCUUGGUGAAGCUUUUUUCUGUGAUCCUGGAAUCUUCUGAUGUUGAGGACAGACUGCCAUUUUAACUCAGUUAUGCCAAAGAUCCAACAAUGUGGUCCACAGAAUGAAGCUUCUGAAAUGUGGAUGGUGUGACAACAGUUCUCUGAUCCAUCAUUGAAUUAUUUGAUAAACUUCAACUUCAAUCAACAGAAGUAAGCAAGAUUCACAAUAAGUUCCUUUGUAGGAAAGCCCAAACUCACCGAUAGUAAAUGAAAGCCUUCUGAGAAUAAAAUCCUGAAGAAAACUGUACUACAGCUAAAUUACAUGCUGGAUGAGCUUUGGCACUGAAUCUCCCAAAGUUUAUGAAAUUACUGCACACAGCUUUGUAAAGAAUCAUGAAAAGUGAAGAAAGACCUGGUACUAAUUCACGCCACACUGUGCUACACGGCGCUCCUGGCUGCAUCGCACCUGUUGAUGUUUAUGUGCCAAGGUACAUCACGCCAACUGCAAUGGCAAGGAAGGUACAGCUGCAAUUGAGCCUGCAAACAGGACAGCUGCAUCUCAGGGAGCACUGCUCUCCAGCACCGGGCCAGGAACCCGCUUCAACCACUGGAGCAAACGUAGAGGAGAUGUUUGAAAGCUUUGCACAUCGCGUGGCCGCUGCAGCCCACCAGUCGCUCCGUGCUGCACAGCAAGGAGAGGAAACAGCUGUGGGUCGGUGUACUUCGGGCAGUACAGCAGCAGGGAUCAUCUUGACCGACGCGUGCUACCAGGAGGAAGAGACGCAGGCAUCUGAAGCGACACGUCCCUUAGCAGCACUGGGGUAACACACAAACUGCAGAACAGAAGUUGCAGGCAAAGGAAUUAUCCUUGUUGGCAGCUUCAUUUCUCAUCCAAAUGGUUUUGUAUGAAGCUAUACUGAAAAGGGAGUUGAGAUUUCCCAUCACAACCAGACAACACAGCAAUUGCAAAAAACUUGGAAAAAAGUCAUCUGAGGAACUGGGAAUAUUUUUAAUGACUAGGGAUGGAAGCGCAGUGCUGGUCUGUGUUUGUGACUUGACAGAAGCGUUCACAAAGCUGCCUCAGGAACAUCAGGCUUCUAGGGCAUCAUUCAGACCUCUGCUUGCAGCUGCCUUUUUUAGACUUAAAAAUCAUACCAAGUUCUCAAGCUCUGUAUUUCUACAACUGCUGCAUGCCUCUCCAAAACUUCACUUUGACUUAAAUGAAAGAAACACCCCAAAUCUAAGUGGGUACACAUCAUAUUGCUCUACGUAGAUGCCUGAGUGUCUCCUAAGUACCAGGAGGUUCCACGAUUUGUCACAAUUCAUGGGGCUUGUGGAGGGCAGGAUCUUUGUGUCCCUCCUUAAUGGUAAUCUUACACCUCCAAGGAGAUGGAGAAAGUCCUUUUGCACAUGCAGAUGAAAACACAAAGGAGCAAUAGCUAUGGCCUCCUUUCAGUCCUGAGGAAAGGAAAUUGUCCCGACUUCACUCAGCUCCAUCUCUUGGUUUAUAGGACAUUUUCUUCCCUUGAUUGAAAAUGCAAAGAUUCCCUGAGUCCUGCUCGCUUCAGCGAAUCUCUUCAGUCUUCUGUAUGGAACAACAGUGACGUGCAGUGGCUGCUCAGGCAAAGCACAGCAAUGUAGGAGCUAUGCUGGUAAAAUGGCAUUUCUGUGACCGGUUAGAUGGGUGGCCAGAACGUGACAACAGUUCAGAAAUGAAUUUGGUGACAUUCCAAGUUGUGAUUGUGUGCAUCACAAAACUGUUUUCAAGCAUGAAUUUGUACUGUAUCUUCAUUUCUCAUGUAACAGUGCUAUUUAGAGGGUGAUCCCAUCCUAACCUGAUUUCUAAGUUAGUAAAAAAUAUUUGUACUGACUUGCACUAGUUGUACAGGUUGCAGCUGACAAUGCAGGCUGAAAUCUCUGCAUAUAAAGAAAGAAAAUCUGAUGAAAAUUAUUUGAUCUCUAAAUGAGAUCUUGGAGAGGUUUAGUAAAAUUGUCUGUUCAGCUGGAUGCAGUCAGGUGGGAGCACUGCCAUUAGAUAUGCUGCAAUACAGAAAGGGCUGUCAGGCAGCCAGAGGUCACGGAAUUAAUUUGUGGCUGAGCAAGAUUUUGGGGGAUGCAGUUGUCAUUUCGGAGGUACGUGCUGCUUUCUAAGAGCCUCCAGAGUUUCGUUUCUGGUCGUGUUCUCUACAUUCCAAAGGGAUUAGGGGCUACAAGGGGAUUUGCUGUGUGAGUGGCUCACUCUCUGUGGGAACAUUUUCUGAACUCCUUUGGCCAGCCAUUCGUACAGGCAAACCCAAGGCAGGGGGGAUAGUCAGAAGGUUAGCUGGUCUCUGGAAACCUGAGGCUCAUCUGUGCCAAAUUCAGCUCUCUUCCCAGCGGGCGAGUGCGCGGUUCUUCAGGCUUUUUGGAAAUAAAAUGGCAGAGAGGCAGCUUUAGAAAGAGUGGCUGUGGGAGUUACUGCACCAGUGAAAUAUUGCUCAGGGAAGGAUUGAUGAGCUCUAGGCUGUGUAGGAAGAGGCCCUUGAAGUUGGAGAGGGCAGUUUGAAUUAUAGGACAGCUACCCAG